GACAGAGGCCUCAAGCGUUAGGCGGAAUCACUGGGCUUAAAGCGUGUGUAGGCGGAUCGUUAAGUGUCUUGUGAAAUCCCACGGCUCACCCGUGGAACUGCUGGGCAUACUGGCGAUCUUGGGCCAACUAGGGGCAGCCGGAACAAGCGGUGGAGCGGUGAAAUGCGUAGAGAUGUGGAGGAACACCGAUGGCGAAGGCAGCCCCCUGGGAUGAAACUGACGCUCAUGUACGAAAGCGUGGGGAGCAAACAGG
This 253-nucleotide ribosomal RNA is filed under the name uncultured bacterium. RNAcentral's name for it is "partial 16S ribosomal RNA". It matches the Rfam family "Bacterial small subunit ribosomal RNA", at positions 524 to 776 of the family's 1533-position model. The record is from RNAcentral.